CCUACGGGAGGCAGCAGUGGGGAAUAUUGGACAAUGGGCGCAAGCCUGAUCCAGCCAUACCGCGUGGGUGAAGAAGGCCUUCGGGUUGUAAAGCCCUUUUGUUGGGAAAGAAAAGCAGUCGAUUAAUACUCGGUUGUUCUGACGGUACCCCAAAGAAUAAGCACCGGCUAACUUCGUGCCAGCAGCCGCGGUAAUACGAAGGGUGCAAGCGUUACUCGGAAUUACUGGGCGUAAAGCGUGCGUAGGUGGUUGUUUAAGUCUGUUGUGAAAGCCCUGGGCUCAACCUGGGAAUUGCAGUGGAUACUGGGCGACUAGAGUGUGGUAGAGGGUAGUGGAAUUCCCGGUGUAGCAGUGAAAUGCGUAGAGAUCGGGAGGAACAUCCAUGGCGAAGGCAGCUACCUGGACCAACACUGACACUGAGGCACGAAAGCGUGGGGAGCAAACAGGAUUAGAUACCCUGGUAGUCCACGCCCUAAACGAUGCGAACUGGAUGUUGGGUGCAAUUUGGCACGCAGUAUCGAAGCUAACGCGUUAAGUUCGCCGCCUGGGGAGUACGGUCGCAAGACUGAAACUCAAAGGAAUUGACGGCUGAGNGNGCGAGAGACACGAGGGAGGAGG
RNAcentral lists this ribosomal RNA (618 nucleotides) under uncultured bacterium. Its description in RNAcentral is "bacterial SSU rRNA". It matches the Rfam family "Bacterial small subunit ribosomal RNA", at positions 338 to 944 of the family's 1533-position model. The record is from RNAcentral.